GCGAAUAGAGAUCGUUUGGUAGAUUAUCUGCCUUCCAAGUAGUAUGGUAUGGGUUCGAAUCCCAUUAUUCGCA
Molecule: transfer RNA, 73 nt
Organism: Conidiobolus coronatus NRRL 28638
Lineage: Eukaryota; Fungi; Entomophthoromycota; Entomophthoromycetes; Entomophthorales; Conidiobolaceae
Rfam family: tRNA
About the family: Transfer RNA (tRNA) molecules are approximately 80 nucleotides in length. Their secondary structure includes four short double-helical elements and three loops (D, anti-codon, and T loops).
Source: Rfam